This 240-nucleotide unclassified non-coding RNA is filed under the name soil metagenome. Its description in RNAcentral is "partial contains 5.8S ribosomal RNA, internal transcribed spacer 2, and large subunit ribosomal RNA". The record is from RNAcentral.
AAGACUAUAGACCUGCGGAGUACCUGCGGAAGGAUCAUUAUUGAAUUAUGUUUCUAAAUGGGUUGUAGCUGGCUCGUCAGAGCAUGUGCACGCCUGUUUGGACUUCAUUUUCAUCCACCUGUGCACCUAUUGUGGUCUUUGGUUGGGUAUCAAGGAAGUGGUCAGCCUAUCAGCACUUGCUGGAUGUGAGGACUUGCAGUGUGAAAGCUUUGCUGUCCUUUACUUGAUCAUGGAGUUGUU